Homo sapiens (human) is the source of this 1994-nucleotide long non-coding RNA. Ensembl annotates it as BCDIN3D antisense RNA 1. Its record names the gene BCDIN3D-AS1. The record is from Ensembl. NCBI's taxonomy places the organism in Eukaryota, Metazoa, Chordata, Mammalia, Primates, Hominidae.
CCAGGACGCGAGCUAAGUCUGCCCGGCCGGCGCGCGCCGCUUCCGCUUUGGUGGGAAGGACCUCCCUUCCCCCUUAUAGAAACACUUUCUCCAGGCCGGGCCGGGCUUGGUAAACCUCAGCCGUGCCUGGGUAGAGGACGCCGGGCUGGGCCGAGCGGGGGUGGAAUGAGGGCGUCUAGAACAGAGAAAACUAAGUAGGAUGGGGUCGUCCCCCCAGUAAUCUGGAAAACAGUUACAGCAACAGGCUCCUCUCAUCAGACGGCAGUGCUGGUCGUUUCCUCACUGGUUUGCGGGGAAGGCUGGGCAGAAAAAGGAUGCAACCUUGUUCUCAACCACUUGCUAUCUCGGUGAGGAUGAGGAAAAGCAAACAGCCCAUCCAGGCCCCUGCAGAGCCUCAGAGCUUCAAUAUCAUUCCCAUUAGUCCUUAAUUAAACACCUAUUUGCCCUUGCCUAAAUACCGUAUAACCCUCACAGCCUGCAUUGUAGUGACUGCCCCAGAAAUGUAGGUUCUCACCUGGGUUCUGCAGGGAAAUACGAAGGAAUCCCUAGGUACAGUCUCCGCCUACUUCAUUAAAAUUUCUUUUGUUGCGAGUAUACAAAGGAUGCAGCUUAGAGUAUCAUAUUAGUCCAAUAAAGGAACAUAAAAAGUAAGGCAAGUUAGGGUGCUCAGAUUGGCUAGGAUUAAGAGUUCUUUUCUGAAGGAGGUUUAUUUAAAUACGGAAUUUGAAGGGCAGAGAGAGCUUGAGUAGGGUCCAGGCAGGGUAAAGGCCACAAGGAGAUUCAGAUAGGAAAGAGCAAAUUAUCUGCGUGGGACCGUGAGCAGAUCACCGUGGUACGUUGGGAAGUGGGAGAAAUUAAUGGAGGAGGUUUCUUAUGGAGGAGAGCAGAAUAAGGAUAUGGAUGUGACAAGACAUAAGAUAAAGAAGUCAUUUUGGGUUCUUGAGCAUAGAGGUAGUUUGAUGAAAAGAGUGCCCAAGGACAGCUAUUACUGGAACCUAAAAGAUGUCUUGAUGGGUACCCCCACCAGCUUUCUCAUUUUUUUGCUUAAAAAAUAUUUUAUUCUUUUCUUUUCUCUGAGAUGGAGUCUCACUCUGUCCCAGGUUGGACGGAGUGCAGUGGCACAAUCUCUGCUCACUGCAACCUCCACCUCCUGAUUUCAGGUGAUUCUCCUGCCUCAGCCUCCCAAGUAGCUGGUAUUAUAAGAGUGCACCACCACACCUGGCUAAUUUUUGUAUUUUUAGUAGAGACGGAGGCUUCACCAUGUUGGCCAGGCUGGUCUCGAACUCCUGACCUCAGGUGAUUUGCCCACCUCGGCCUCCCAAAGUGCUAGGAUUAUAGAUGUGAGCCACCAUGCCCGGCCCUUAAAUUAUUCUUAACGUGCAAUAAAAUGCACACAUCUUAGGUGCUUUGUUUGGUGAAUUUCAAAAUAUACACCUAUGUAAUUAACACCCAAAACAAGAUACUGAACCACCACCCUAUAAAGUUCCCUCAUGCCCCUUUAUAGUUGAUCACCCCACACCCACCACCACCCUCCCCUGGCAACUUCCUGAAUUAUAGCACCAUAGAUUUGUCUGCAUUUGUAUUUCACAUAUAUGGAGCUUUACAGUAUGUACUUGUGUCUGUAUCCUUUAGCUUAGUAAUGUUUUUGAGAUCCAUCCAUGUGUAUCAGUAAUCUGUUCUUUUUUAUUGCUGAGUAUUAUUCCAUUGCAUGAAUAUAUCACAAUGUGUUUAUCCAUUCUUCAAUUGAUGGAUAUUUGGGUAUUUCCAGUUGGGGUUAUGAUGAAUAUGGCUGCUAUUAACAUUCUGGUGCAAAUAUUUUCAUAGACAUGUUUUCAUUUCUCCUUUUCACCUUAUUUCUUGAUGAUAGUGGCAUCUUCGGAAGCCUACAGCAUUGUGAAUUCUUAUUCAAUCAUCUAACAUUGAAUAGGGAUCAGUGGGCUAGUUCUGGGAUUACAACAAAAAGUAGACAUGGUCCUUUCCUCAAAGGGCUUGAA